UACGUAGGGUGCAAGCGUUAAUCGGAAUUACUGGGCGUAAAGCGUGCGCAGGCGGUGAUGUAAGACCGAUGUGAAAUCCCCGGGCUCAACCUGGGAACUGCAUUUGUGACUGCAUCGCUGGAGUGCGGCAGAGGGGGAUGGAAUUCCGCGUGUAGCAGUGAAAUGCGUAGAUAUGCGGAGGAACACCGAUGGCGAAGGCAAUCCCCUGGGCCUGCACUGAAGCUCAUGCACGAAAGCGUGGGGAGCAAACAGG
This 253-nucleotide ribosomal RNA is filed under the name uncultured bacterium. Its description in RNAcentral is "partial 16S ribosomal RNA". It matches the Rfam family "Bacterial small subunit ribosomal RNA", at positions 524 to 776 of the family's 1533-position model. The record is from RNAcentral.